This is a microRNA precursor of Cercocebus atys (sooty mangabey), 84 nucleotides long. The record is from Ensembl. Lineage: Eukaryota; Metazoa; Chordata; Mammalia; Primates; Cercopithecidae.
GAAUCACUUGAACCCAGGAGGUGGAGGCUGCAGUGAGCCAAGAUCGUGCCACUGCACUCCAGCCUGGGCGACAAGAGCAAAACU